This is a long non-coding RNA of Eriocheir sinensis (Chinese mitten crab), 387 nucleotides long. RefSeq lists it as uncharacterized. The transcript is spliced from 2 exons. The record is from RefSeq and is a predicted model, not a curated record. NCBI's taxonomy places the organism in Eukaryota, Metazoa, Arthropoda, Malacostraca, Decapoda, Varunidae.
ACAAAAGUGGGAGAGGAAAGAAGAAAAAAAAAGAAGAAACAGAUUUGAUAGUAGCGAGGAUGGGAGGAACUUAGGGACGGGAAAUGAAGGUGAAGGAUGGGCUCGAUGAAGGGAAGGAGAGGAGAGAAUGAGGGAGUGAAGGAAAGGUAGAGGAAAAUAGGGGUGGAAAGAGAGGUAAAGGAUGGGUUUGAUAAAAGAAAGAGGGGAGAAGGGAGAGAAAGGAAAGGAGGAUAGAGGAAAGAUGGAUGAAAGUAGGGAUGGAGAGAGAGAUAAAGAAUGGGAUUGAAAAGAGAAGGAGAAGGGGAAGAAAUGAGAUGAAAGAACGGGAAAGGAGAAAAGGAGAAAAGGAGAGGAAAGGGGAAGGGAUGGCGUACCAGACAGAGAGGA